RNAcentral lists this ribosomal RNA (2300 nucleotides) under Listeria monocytogenes. Its description in RNAcentral is "partial 23S ribosomal RNA". It matches the Rfam family "Bacterial large subunit ribosomal RNA", at positions 408 to 2706 of the family's 2925-position model. The record is from RNAcentral. Lineage: Bacteria; Bacillati; Bacillota; Bacilli; Caryophanales; Listeriaceae.
CUGAGUACGGCGGAACACGUGAAAUUCCGUCGGAAUCCGGGAGGACCAUCUCCCAAGGCUAAAUACUCCCUAGUGACCGAUAGUGAACCAGUACCGUGAGGGAAAGGUGAAAAGCACCCCGGAAGGGGAGUGAAACAGUUCCUGAAACCGUGUGCCUACAAGUAGUUAGAGCCCGUUAAUGGGUGAUAGCGUGCCUUUUGUAGAAUGAACCGGCGAGUUACGAUUUGUUGCAAGGUUAAGCGGAAAAAGCGGAGCCGUAGCGAAAGCGAGUCUGAAUAGGGCGCAUAAGUAACAGGUCGUAGACCCGAAACCAGGUGAUCUACCCAUGUCCAGGAUGAAGGUAAGGUAAUACUUACUGGAGGUCCGAACCCACGCACGUUGAAAAGUGCGGGGAUGAGGUGUGGGUAGCGGAGAAAUUCCAAUCGAACUUGGAGAUAGCUGGUUCUCUCCGAAAUAGCUUUAGGGCUAGCCUCGAGGUAAAGAGUCAUGGAGGUAGAGCACUGUUUGGACUAGGGGCCCUUCUCGGGUUACCGAAUUCAGAUAAACUCCGAAUGCCAUGUACUUAUACUCGGGAGUCAGACUGCGAGUGAUAAGAUCCGUAGUCGAAAGGGAAACAGCCCAGACCACCAGUUAAGGUCCCCAAAUAUAUGUUAAGUGGAAAAGGAUGUGGGGUUGCUUAGACAACCAGGAUGUUGGCUUAGAAGCAGCCACCAUUGAAAGAGUGCGUAAUAGCUCACUGGUCGAGUGACCCCGCGCCGAAAAUGUACCGGGGCUAAACAUAUUACCGAAACUGUGGAUGAACCUCUUUAGAGGUUCGUGGUAGGAGAGCGUUCUAAGGGCGGUGAAGUCAGACCGGAAGGACUGGUGGAGCGCUUAGAAGUGAGAAUGCCGGUAUGAGUAGCGAAAGAAGGGUGAGAAUCCCUUCCACCGAAUAUCUAAGGUUUCCUGAGGAAGGCUCGUCCGCUCAGGGUUAGUCGGGACCUAAGCCGAGGCCGAUAGGCGUAGGCGAUGGACAACAGGUAGAGAUUCCUGUACCAGUGCUAAUUGUUUAACCGAUGGGGUGACACAGAAGGAUAGGGAAUCGCACGAAUGGAAAUGUGCGUCCAAGCAGUGAGUGUGAGAAGUAGGCAAAUCCGCUUCUCGCGAAGCAUGAGCUGUGAUGGGGAAGGAAAUUAAGUACGGAAGUUCCUGAUUUCACGCUGUCAAGAAAAGCCUCUAGGAAGAGUAGUACUGCCCGUACCGCAAACCGACACAGGUAGAUGAGGAGAGAAUCCUAAGGUGAGCGAGAGAACUCUCGUUAAGGAACUCGGCAAAAUGACCCCGUAACUUCGGGAGAAGGGGUGCUCUAUUAGGGUGCAAGCCCGAGAGAGCCGCAGUGAAUAGGCCCAGGCGACUGUUUAGCAAAAACACAGGUCUCUGCAAAACCGUAAGGUGACGUAUAGGGGCUGACGCCUGCCCGGUGCUGGAAGGUUAAGAGGAGUGCUUAGCUUCGGCGAAGGUACGAAUUGAAGCCCCAGUAAACGGCGGCCGUAACUAUAACGGUCCUAAGGUAGCGAAAUUCCUUGUCGGGUAAGUUCCGACCCGCACGAAAGGCGCAACGAUCUGGGCACUGUCUCAACGAGAGACUCGGUGAAAUUAUAGUACCUGUGAAGAUGCAGGUUACCCGCGACAGGACGGAAAGACCCCGUGGAGCUUUACUGCAACCUGAUAUGGAAUGUUUGUACCGCUUGUACAGGAUAGGUAGGAGCCGAAGAGACGUGUGCGCUAGCAUACGAGGAGGCAAUGGUGGGAUACUACCCUGGCUGUAUGACCAUUCUAACCCGCCACGCUUAGCGCGUGGGGAGACAGUGUCAGGUGGGCAGUUUGACUGGGGCGGUCGCCUCCUAAAGAGUAACGGAGGCGCCCAAAGGUUCCCUCAGAAUGGAUGGAAAUCAUUCGCAGAGUGUAAAGGCACAAGGGAGCUUGACUGCGAGACUGACAAGUCGAGCAGGGACGAAAGUCGGGCUUAGUGAUCCGGUGGUUCCGCAUGGAAGGGCCAUCGCUCAACGGAUAAAAGCUACCCCGGGGAUAACAGGCUUAUCUCCCCCAAGAGUCCACAUCGACGGGGAGGUUUGGCACCUCGAUGUCGGCUCGUCGCAUCCUGGGGCUGUAGUCGGUCCCAAGGGUUGGGCUGUUCGCCCAUUAAAGCGGCACGCGAGCUGGGUUCAGAACGUCGUGAGACAGUUCGGUCCCUAUCCGUCGCGGGCGCAGGAAAUUUGAGAGGAGCUGUCCUUAGUACGAGAGGACCGGGAUGGACACAC